ACAGGCAUGAGACAGACCAA
RNAcentral lists this microRNA (20 nucleotides) under Melibe leonina. Its description in RNAcentral is "mle-miR-12101-5p". Lineage: Eukaryota; Metazoa; Mollusca; Gastropoda; Nudibranchia; Dendronotidae. The record is from miRBase by way of RNAcentral.